This 677-nucleotide ribosomal RNA is filed under the name uncultured bacterium. Its description in RNAcentral is "bacterial SSU rRNA". It matches the Rfam family "Bacterial small subunit ribosomal RNA", at positions 60 to 724 of the family's 1533-position model. The record is from RNAcentral.
AGUCGAGCGGUAGCACAGGAGAGCUUGCUCUCUGGGUGACGAGCGGCCCACGGGUGAGUAAUGUCUGGGAAACUGCCUGAUGGAGGGGGAUAACUACUGGAAACGGUAGCUAAUACCGCAUGACGUCUUCGGACCAAAGUGGGGGACCUUCGGGCCUCACGCCAUCAGAUGUGCCCAGAUGGGAUUAGCUAGUAGGUGGGGUAAUGGCUCACCUAGGCGACGAUCUCUAGCUGGUCUGAGAGGAUGACCAGCCACACUGGAACUGAGACACGGUCCACACUCCUACGGGAGGCAGCAGUGGGGAAUAUUGCACAAUGGGCGCAAGCCUGAUGCAGCCAUGCCGCGUGUAUGAAGAAGGCCUUCGGGUUGUAAAGUACUUUCAGCGAGGAGGAAGGCAUUGUGGUUAAUAACCACAGUGAUUGACGUUACUCGCAGAAGAAGCACCGGCUAACUCCGUGCCAGCAGCCGCGGUAAUACGGAGGGUGCAAGCGUUAAUCGGAAUUACUGGGCGUAAAGCGCACGCCGGCGGUUGAUUAAGUCAGAUGUGAAAUCCCCGAGCUUAACUUGGGAACUGCAUUUGAAACUGGUCAGCUAGAGUCUUGUAGAGGGGGGUAAAAUUCCAGGUGUAGCGCUGAAAUGCGUAGAGAUUCUGGAGGAAUACCGGUGGGCGAAGGCGG